Gasterosteus aculeatus aculeatus (three-spined stickleback) is the source of this 3294-nucleotide long non-coding RNA. NCBI's taxonomy places the organism in Eukaryota, Metazoa, Chordata, Actinopteri, Perciformes, Gasterosteidae. The record is from Ensembl.
GGAGAGUUCUUUUAACCUUUAGGGUUUGAACGAUAUAACUGCUUUUAUUGUUUUUAUAUUCAAUUUUUGUAAACCUUUUCGCUUUUUUAUAUAAAUAAAAAUUCUCCUUUUUGGGGAACAAAAGACCAUUUGUUUCCGGGGGAUUCCUUUCCACUGAGGGGCCUCCUCCCAGGGGCUGAAUGACAAGAACACCGCUUCGAAACCUGCAGACACCGGGCGGGCAAGGAGAGGAGACCGGACAUCUCACCCGUCUGUGGUUAGAACCUUGCCCCCACAAUGGCCUCCCAGUCUAUAGGAGGCCGCCUGUAAUACACGUCCCAUACCCUCAGGGGACCGGCAAACCCAUGUGUGUUGCCUGCCUCGGGGACACACGGGUCCAAUACCCCUCCAAACCACUGCGGCAGCCCUGGCUACCGCGAGUGGCUGUAUUUACCUUUUGAUUGCAACUCCUACAAAUUUAGGACAACGUUCGAGGACAACGAGAGGAGGAACGCCUGCAUGCAGACGUUGAGGCCAGACGACACUUCGAGGGAGAGACCCGCGACCCCUUGGCCGUCGCCGGCUUUGUCAACCCCCGAGGCGUCACCCACGACUUCCUGGGGAGAGGUGGACGUCCCAACGCCACCCCUAACACCGUUCCUGCGACCACCGAGGCGAUGGCCAAACUCCAACUCGGGGACCCCGGGUCCAACCCAGACCCAGACCCCCUCGACAGUACGACGCAUCAUAAGGGUCCCGAGCCCCCUGUGCCCCUGUGACAACUGCGUCAGAAGGAGAGAGUGGACUGGGAACAGGGGGACCGACGAGCUGAUCGCCGAGCAGGUCCUCGACCGGCAACGGACCACGGCUGUCGGGCCGAUCCGCACCCGUUUUCCCCCGGUAACAGAAGACGCCACAGUGCCAAAUGGGCCCGGGCCCGCGAGGGAAGAGCCCUCACCAAGCCGGAGAAGGCUGACCUCUCGCAGGGAAUGCACAGUGUGAACUUUCUCCGCGAUAUUGCUGCUUGCGCCACCACCCUCCUUGCCUGCACUCCCAAACUGAAGUUUUUUAUGAGGUCACGCAAUGCUGAUGUACGCCUCUCUUUCACCUCCAUCACGACCGUCACCGGCUGGAGCAGAAUCGCCCACAUGCAGACGGGUGAAUGCGAUUACGAGCGCUUCCCAGCCUCCAAACCCACUCCGGGCAGACCCGUUGCGGACAAGGUGAAGAAAGGGAUUAUCUUGCAAAGCUCCGAUCAUGGGAUCAUUCCCGACGCAACCCAAAGGUUCAAACCUGGCAAAAUCAUGUUCAUCGAUGAUGGUGGCAUCUGGGGAAUUCUGCUCCUCCCCCGGUCUGACAACGUGUUUUUCUGACAACUGCAAGACGAUGUAGGUUAUGAACCAUUUUUAUUUUACAAGGAGGGUGUUGUAUAGCCGGAUACUGUGUAAAACAAAAAAUGCUUACAAAAACAUAAUGCUUUUCUUUGUGCACCAAGAUACAGGUCAAACAUAUACGUAGGUCCCGGGUGAGAACUUAAUCAAAAGGUUCCUUAAACUCAAUAAAGUGUUGUCACUGAGUGAGUGUCACGAAUGUAUCGUCUUAACAACCUACUUCACCAUCAUCCGCGUUAGAUAUUGGGGGGAAGAUAAGCAAUACUGUGUGUACCGAACAAAUACGAGUCAGCUAAAAAACCUUAAGGAAUAUGAUCGAUAUUAGAACUUAUUCGCUAAUAACGAUGAGAUACACAGUGACUAAAAAAAGUAGUUCCGCUGCUGGCGAAAACAUAAAACGCACGACUUAAGAAAUAGGUAUAAUACGACUCGCCCUUGUAGCUGUAAGUCCUACUCUUAAGGAAGUUGUCUUCCUCACUCAAACUACUAUAGCUCGUCGCGACAAUAUCUUCAUAGCAGCGGCGCACUCGGACAAGACUAACAGGACAAAGGCGUAUAUCCUCCUCAAUCUCACAGGAGCAGAGGCCAUCGAAAGGGAGCGUUCAUUCGUUUACGCAGCAGAGGUGAGAGCGCCUGGUGAAGAUGGAGCUGUCAUCGUUCGAAAUUUCAGGAAGUAUGCAACCCUCAACAAAACAAAACAAUGGAGAGACACAAGUUCCACUCACAAAAUCAAAAGCAAGGUGAGACUAUUCCUACAUCAGUGAUGUGAGGAUCAAAGCUAAAAGUUGUCACAUUGGAGACCUGACAGAUUAAUUGAUUUGUGACAGAAUAGUGUGUGGAAUCAGAAGACUGUAUGAGAAAGGCUUUGCUGCGUGACAGUGAAUUAACCCUGAACGAAGCUAUUACAAUCUGCUGCAUAUAUGAAAUGACUGAGGAGAGUAAUAAGUCUCUAGCCCAGUCCCAAAUAGCCACCACUUUUGACGCAAUCCACCCAAACUCCAGUGGUUGGCACAACAGGUCGAGACUUAAACCUCAAGCAGGCCAACGUGAUGAAAAAUCCAUUACAAAUUGCAAUAACUGUGGAGGCAGCCACGCUGCACAGAGAGAAAAAUGUCCUGCUAUCGGGCAGCAGUGCCAUAUCUGCAGGAAAUUCAACCACUUCAAAAAAUGCUGCAGGUCCAUGUCAUACGGACAAGGCUAUGAAAAGAUGGGCUACGUAAAGAGAAGGGACAGCGAAAGAUCGGUGCACCAGCUAGAGCUACAAGAGCCUGAUGACAGUGCUAGUGACACUUUCUAUGUGGAUGGCGUCAAAGUGGACACCAUCAAUCCUCAAAAGAAGGACAAGAUGAAGGAUUUGUUACGCUGCAUGUACAUGACCGGCCAGUCGAGAUGAAGGCUGAUACUGUUAGGGAUUUAAGCCAGAAGUGCACCCCUAGUGGUGGGAAUUAUAAUACGUGUAAUAAUGUUUAGUGUUAGUUAUUACAUUAACAUGUUAGAUGAAGUGAAUGCAAUUUGAAUCAAACACAAUGUAUAGUCAUUUAAAACAUAUAAACACUGUACACAUUAACAUUCUGUCACAAUGUGAUGUUAAAACCUGGGGACGGACGCUAAUUGCCGUCCUUUAUGGAUUUCUCCCAAUUUUAUUCCCAAAGAGGGUUUUUUGGGAGUUUUUUCGCCUGUCAGGUAGUAAAUAAACAACUUAAUGUAAGGCAGCCAACUGAGGCAAAUGUCUUGAGAAUUGGACCACAUGAACUGUCUUAGAUCUUAUGAUGAAGUGUGAUUAACGGUGAUCAUUAAUGAUGUGUUGUAAUUAAGGUGUACUAGUUAUAAGAUGAAGACAAACUAUGCAUGCUUUGUUAUAUUCACUCAUUGAGGAAUAAAGCCAAAUGUAUCUACAUUGCACUGCAUGAAAAGUGAGAUUUUC